Molecule: ribosomal RNA, 440 nt
Filed under: uncultured bacterium
Lineage: Bacteria
Description: bacterial SSU rRNA
Rfam family: Bacterial small subunit ribosomal RNA
Source: RNAcentral
GUUUGAUCCUGGCUCAGAGCGAACGUUAGCGGCAGGCUUAACACAUGCAAGUCGAGCGACAAAGGGGCUUCGGCCCUGAGUAGAGCGGCGGACGGGUGCGUAACACGUGGAUAAUCUGCCUCGUGGCGGGGGAUAACAGUCCGAAAGGACUGCUAAUACCGCAUGUCAGGUCGGAAACCCCGGUUUCUGACGAAAAAGAGGGCGCCCGCAAGGGGCUCUCACCACGAGAUGAGUCCGCGGCCCAUCAGCUAGUUGGCGGUGUAAUAGACCACCAAGGCUAAGACGGGUAGCUGGUCUGAGAGGAUGACCAGCCACACUGGGACUGAGACACGGCCCAGACUCCUACGGGAGGCAGCAGUGGGGAAUAUUGGACAAUGGGCGAAAGCCUGAUCCAGCCAUGCCGCGUGAGUGAUGAAGGUCUUCGGAUCGUAAAGCUCUGU